UACGAAGGGGGCUAGCGUUGUUCGGAAUUACUGGGCGUAAAGCGUGCGCAGGCGGCUGCUCAAGUCAGGGGUGAAAGCCCAGAGCUCAACUCUGGAAUUGCCUUUGAGACUGAGUGGCUUGAGUACGGGAGAGGUGAGUGGAAUUCCCAGUGUAGAGGUGAAAUUCGUAGAUAUCGGAAGGAACACCUGUGGCGAAAGCGGCUCACUGGACCAUAACUGACGCUGAGGCACGAAAGCGUGGGGAGCAAACAGG
RNAcentral lists this ribosomal RNA (253 nucleotides) under uncultured bacterium. RNAcentral describes it as "partial 16S ribosomal RNA". It matches the Rfam family "Bacterial small subunit ribosomal RNA", at positions 524 to 776 of the family's 1533-position model. The record is from RNAcentral.